RNAcentral lists this ribosomal RNA (305 nucleotides) under uncultured bacterium. RNAcentral describes it as "bacterial SSU rRNA". It matches the Rfam family "Bacterial small subunit ribosomal RNA", at positions 333 to 654 of the family's 1533-position model. The record is from RNAcentral.
UAUUGCCUACGGGGGGCAGCAGUGGGGAAUAUUGCACAAUGGGGGAAACCCUGAUGCAGCAACGCCGCGUGAGUGAAGAAGGUUUUCGGAUUGUAAAGCUCUGUUAGCAGGGAAGAGGAAGGACGGUACCUGCAGAGGAAGCCACGGCUAACUACGUGCCAGCAGCCGCGGUAAUACGUAGGUGGCAAGCGUUAUCCGGAUUUACUGGGUGUAAAGGGAGCGUAGACGGCAGCACAAGUCUGGAGUGAAAUCCCGGGGCUUAACCCCGGAACUGCUUUGGAAACUGUGCGGCUGGAGUGCAGGAG